GUAGGGGGCAAGCGUUAUCCGGAUUUACUGGGUGUAAAGGGAGCGUAGACGGCACGGCAAGCCAGAUGUGAAAGCCCGGGGCUCAACCCCGGGACUGCAUUUGGAACUGCUGAGCUAGAGUGUCGGAGAGGCAAGUGGAAUUCCUAGUGUAGCGGUGAAAUGCGUAGAUAUUAGGAGGAACACCAGUGGCGAAGGCGGCUUGCUGGACGAUGACUGACGUUGAGGCUCGAAAGCGUGGGGAGCAAACAGGAUUAGAUACCCUGGUAGUCCACGCCGUAAACGAUGACUGCUAGGUGUCGGGUAGCAAAGCUAUUCGGUGCCGCAGCUAACGCAAUAAGCAGUCCACCUGGGGAGUACGUUCGCAGGAAUGAAACUCAA
RNAcentral lists this ribosomal RNA (378 nucleotides) under uncultured bacterium. RNAcentral's name for it is "bacterial SSU rRNA". It matches the Rfam family "Bacterial small subunit ribosomal RNA", at positions 527 to 904 of the family's 1533-position model. The record is from RNAcentral.